Molecule: ribosomal RNA, 394 nt
Filed under: uncultured bacterium
Lineage: Bacteria
Description: partial 16S ribosomal RNA
Rfam family: Bacterial small subunit ribosomal RNA
Source: RNAcentral
AUACGGAGGAUGCAAGCGUUAUCCGGAUUUAUUGGGUUUAAAGGGUGCGUAGGCGGAUGAUUAAGCGUGAGGUGAAAUGCCACUGCUCAACAGUGGAACUGCCUCGCGGACUGGUUGUCUUGAAUGCUCCUGCCGUGGGAGGAAUGUGUGGUGUAGCGGUGAAAUGCAUAGAGAUCACACAGAACACCGAUUGCGAAGGCAUCUCACGAAGGGGUGAUUGACGCUGAGGCACGGAAGCGUGGGGAUCAAACAGGAUUAGAUACCCUGGUAGUCCACGCAGUAAACGAUGAUAACUAACCGCUGGGUCGUAGUGAUUCAGUGGCCAAGCGAAAGCGAUAAGUUAUCCACCUGGGGAGUACGACCGCAAGGCUGAAACUCAAAGGAAUUGACGGGG